Molecule: non-coding RNA, 467 nt
Organism: Paramuricea clavata
Lineage: Eukaryota; Metazoa; Cnidaria; Anthozoa; Malacalcyonacea; Plexauridae
Source: the annotation of a GenBank genome assembly
UUGCAUAAAAAGCAAAUUAUAACAGACCAUAGAUGAUAGACCCUCAUCCAGUGCUCUCAUCAGUUUACUUCUUUCACAAGCAAGGAGGGGGGGGGGGGUACAUAACAGUUCAUUUUUCAUAAUUAUGAGGACAGAGCAGAUGAUGAUGAGAGAUGCAAGUAUAAAACACCAUUCACAAGGCUAGAUGUUAACAUAGCACAGUAUUUCUGGCAAUAAAACGCUCCAACUGACCAUUUAACACGAACUUUUAUCGCUGGAUAAUUUUGCGAUUUUUCAUCCAAUUCAAUCAUAUAUACGCUCAAAAUCUCCGCGGUAAGUUUCUCUUUACCAUAAAAUUUGACCGAAUAAGUUUCGAAGCAAUGCGACGGCAAAAAAUGCAAAAAUCCUGAUUUUCGUAAUAGAAUCUAUAGUCUUUUUGCCCUGUUGUACCGCCAUCUUGGAUUUAUCAUGUAGGCCCCGCCUGCGCU